UCAGAGGUAGUACAAGUCGUUACCACGGUUUCCGUAGGUGAACCCUGCGAAGGAUCAUUA
RNAcentral lists this ribosomal RNA (60 nucleotides) under Pseudosperma rimosum. Its description in RNAcentral is "partial 18S ribosomal RNA". The record is from RNAcentral. Lineage: Eukaryota; Fungi; Basidiomycota; Agaricomycetes; Agaricales; Inocybaceae.